ACGAACGCUGGCGGCGUGCUUAACACAUGCCAGUCGAACGGAAAGGCCCUGCUUUUGUGGGGUGCUCGAGUGGCGAACGGGUGAGUAACACGUGAGUAACCUGCCCUUGACUUUGGGAUAACUUCAGGAAACUGGGGCUAAUACCGGAUAGGAGCUCCUGCUGCAUGGUGGGGGUUGGAAAGUUUCGGCGGUUGGGGAUGGACUCGCGGCUUAUCAGCUUGUUGGUGGGGUAGUGGCUUACCAAGGCUUUGACGGGUAGCCGGCCUGAGAGGGUGACCGGCCACAUUGGGACUGAGAUACGGCCCAGACUCCUACGGGAGGCAGCAGUGGGGAAUAUUACACAAUGGGCGGAAGCCUGAUGCAGCAACGCCGCGUGCGGGAUGACGGCCUUCGGGUUGUAAACCGCUUUCGCCUGUGACGAAGCGUGAGUGACGGUAAUGGGUAAAGAAGCACCGGCUAACUACGUG
RNAcentral lists this ribosomal RNA (467 nucleotides) under uncultured bacterium. RNAcentral's name for it is "partial 16S ribosomal RNA". It matches the Rfam family "Bacterial small subunit ribosomal RNA", at positions 29 to 507 of the family's 1533-position model. The record is from RNAcentral.